GGGAAACUGGGUCUAAUACCGGAUAUGACCACCGGCCGCAUGGUUGGUGGUGGAAAGUUUUUUCGAUUGGGGAUGGGCUCGCGGCCUAUCAGUUUGUUGGUGGGGUAAUGGCCUACCAAGGCGACGACGGGUAGCCGGCCUGAGAGGGCGACCGGCCACACUGGGACUGAGACACGGCCCAGACUCCUACGGGAGGCAGCAGUGGGGAAUAUUGCACAAUGGGGGAAACCCUGAUGCAGCGACGCAGCGUGCGGGAUGACGGCCUUCGGGUUGUAAACCGCUUUCAGCAGGGAAGAAGCUGUGAGGUGACGGUACCUGCAGAAGAAGUACCGGCUAACUACGUGCCAGCAGCCGCGGUAAUACGUAGGGUACGAGCGUUGUCCGGAAUUAUUGGGCGUAAAGAGCUCGUAGGUGGUUGGUCACGUCUGCUGUGGAAACGCAACGCUUAACGUUGCGCGGGCAGUGGGUACGGGCUGACUAGAGUGCAGUAGGGGAGUCUGGAAUUCCUGGUGUAGCGGUGAAAUGCGCAGAUAUCAGGAGGAACACCGGUGGCGAAGGCGGGACUCUGGGCUGUGACUGACACUGAGGAGCGAAAGCAUGGGGAGCGAACAGGAUUAGAUACCCUGGUAGUCCAUGCCG
RNAcentral lists this ribosomal RNA (639 nucleotides) under uncultured Brevibacterium sp. RNAcentral's name for it is "bacterial SSU rRNA". It matches the Rfam family "Bacterial small subunit ribosomal RNA", at positions 151 to 802 of the family's 1533-position model. The record is from RNAcentral. Lineage: Bacteria; Bacillati; Actinomycetota; Actinomycetes; Micrococcales; Brevibacteriaceae.